This 454-nucleotide ribosomal RNA is filed under the name uncultured Sphingobacteriales bacterium. RNAcentral's name for it is "bacterial SSU rRNA". It matches the Rfam family "Bacterial small subunit ribosomal RNA", at positions 933 to 1382 of the family's 1533-position model. The record is from RNAcentral. Lineage: Bacteria; Pseudomonadati; Bacteroidota; Sphingobacteriia; Sphingobacteriales.
UGGAGCAUGUGGUUAAUUCGAAGCAACGCGAAGAACCUUACCAGGCCUUGACAUGCGUAGGGAACCCGGUGAAAGCCUGGGUGCCCCGCGAGGGAGCCCUAGCACGGGUGCUGCAUGGCCGUCGUCAGCUCGUGCCGUGAGGUGUCGGGUUAAGUCCCAUAACGAGCGCAACCCUUACCGUUAGUUACCAUCAGGUUAAGCUGGGGACUCUAGCGGGACUGCCACCGUAAGGUGAGAGGAAGGUGGGGAUGACGUCAAAUCAGCACGGCCCUUAUGUCCAGGGCUACACACGUGUUACAAUGGCCAGUACAAAGGGCAGCUACCGGGUGACCGGAUGCUAAUCUCUAAAGCUGGUCUCAGUUCGGAUCGAAGUCUGCAACCCGACUUCGUGAAGCUGGAUUCGCUAGUAAUCGCGCAUCAGCCAUGGCCGCGGUCGAAUACGUUCCCGGGCCUU